Molecule: small RNA, 745 nt
Filed under: Pan troglodytes (chimpanzee)
Lineage: Eukaryota; Metazoa; Chordata; Mammalia; Primates; Hominidae
Description: retained intron
Source: RNAcentral
CGGGUGCGGGCGCAGGCGGCCUGACCCUUCCGCAGGCCUCCGAGGAGCUGCUGCGUGAGCACUACGCCGAGCUGCGUGAACGCCCGUUCUACGGCCGCCUUGUCAAGUAUAUGGCCUCCGGGCCGGUGGUGGCCAUGGUGAGUACCCGGGAAGCGGGCGGGCGGCCCCGGGACCCCCAUCCCCGCGUGAUACCGCGCCCGUUCGCCCGCACAGGUAUGGCAGGGGCUGGACGUGGUGCGCACCUCGCGGGCGCUCAUCGGGGCCACGAACCCGGCCGACGCCCCGCCCGGCACCAUCCGCGGGGAUUUCUGCAUCGAGGUUGGCAAGAACCUGAUUCACGGCAGCGACUCGGUGGAGAGUGCCCGCCGCGAGAUCGCGCUCUGGUUCCGCGCAGACGAGCUCCUCUGCUGGGAGGACAGCGCUGGGCACUGGCUGUAUGAGUAGCCCGGCAGAUGCGCGUCGCAGAGGCUCUCACACUCCAGCCUCCUCCAGAGGGCCCAGGUGGCCGGGCUUCUGGCCCCACCCCACAGCGCUUGGAGCAUCCCUUUGGACGGGCUGCUGAACAUCCACCUGUCUGGACGUUGCAUUGAGGGUGGCGCAGGCCUCUCCAAUCCCUGGCGUUCCUGCCCGAGGAGCUGCUCCAGGAGCCUGCGCGGCUCGCCUGGAAACGUGCCAGGACACUGUCCUGGUGCCCAGCCCAACGUGGUCCAACUUUUUUUAUAAUAAAGUCCUCGUUUUCGUGUCG